Gasterosteus aculeatus aculeatus (three-spined stickleback) is the source of this 3191-nucleotide long non-coding RNA. The record is from Ensembl. NCBI's taxonomy places the organism in Eukaryota, Metazoa, Chordata, Actinopteri, Perciformes, Gasterosteidae.
CCAUAUCAUUGCUGGUCUAGAAGUAAGAACCGCUUACGUCAGCGGCUGGGGGCGGGGUUACCGUGACCAACAAGACGAGAGAAACUUUGUGAUCCGCCAUUUUUCGAUAGCAGCUAAUCGAGCUAACAACAACACAAUGGACGCUACUAGGCAAAAACAGCACUGGUCAGACGAGGAAACAAGCUGCUUUCUUGCACUCUGGUCCUCUUCAGAAGUCCUGAGUAAGUUAGAUGGGGCUUCGCGGACGAAAACGGUUUUGCAGCAGAUUCAAAGAGAGAGAUGGCUGUAACUGGUUUUGACCGGAGCCUCGUCCAGAUAACAAACACACUAAAAAAACUAAAGAAAGACUGUGGGACCAAAAAAAGGACCUCGGCCGAAGCGGCAAUGGGCGCCCACGUCAAAAUCCAUAUUUCAACGUUCUCGACUGUGUUCUCGGCGAUAGGGCAUGCCAGGUGACCGGGGGCCUGAACUCGGCCACAAUAAUGCUCGAGUCAAUGCUGGAUGAUUCGCCGCAGCAAAGUUGCACUGAUCACGAACUGUCUGCCAUCAACGACCGUGAAGACAACGUUGAGUUGCCGCCACCGCUGGGCUGCAGCUCUCCCGUGCCGUCGUGGAGCAGCUCUGGAGAAGCAUCUUCAGAACGGGGAAAAAUGAAGAGGUGGUACCUCGGAAAUCAUUCAAUAUCUGGAAAGGGCAGAUGAGAGGUUCCUGCAGCACAGCAAGGCAAUGGAUGAUGCCUUGUGUCAGGACAUGAGAGCGGACACCCAAUCCCUGCUUGGACUCAUGGGGCGCACGGUGGCCGUAUUGGAGACACAAGUUAAAAAAUAAUUUUGGUUGCCGCUUUUCAUGUCUUUUUUUUUUUUUUUACACAAUUGUUACCUGCAGAACUUUAUUUUUUUAAAAGAUUUCUGUUGUUUUUUUUGGUUUAAAUAAACAUGUUUAGUAAUGCAAAUAGCUGGUCCAGUUUCUUAAACACUUAACAGGCAAAUAUUGUAUUAUGGUUUGUGUUUUUAAUGUAAUUUACUUUUAUAUAAAUGUGUACAUUAAACAGCCAAGUGAUGCGAUUAGCUGCAUAUACAAAUCUAUAUUAUUUCGACAUGAAAUAUGAUUAAAAUCCAAGUUACUUUAUGAUUGGUAGUUAAUAAAAACUUGGUUGGUUUUAAUCCUGGCCAGAAGUGUGAAAGGGUUGUUGAUUGAGGAUGAUUGAUAAAUGACAUUAUCUUUUCUAAUAAUAAUGGAUGUUGUGUUCUCGUGGAGAUGUUUUCCCCUGCAGUGGAUUUCUAACUGGUGUUGCAUUUUCCUAAGGUCUCCGUAUCAUUGCUGCUUUUUUCGCACAAACCUUCCUGUGGUUAUGGGGACAAAACCAGACUGUGAGGCUCGUAGGCGUGAGUUGUGGUUUUGGUGUAAGAGUGACCGUGUGAAGGGAUGGAUGACAGGGUGUGUGACUGAGGGUGGGUGUCCAUAUGACAUAUUAGUGAUACUAGAUGUGGCAAAAAAAGGGUGUGGAAGAAUACAACUGAGAAUACUGGGAGAGUGUUCAUAUGACAUUUGGGAGGCUACAGUAAACAAUGGUGCAAGACUUCAACUGACACUAUGCUUGACUUAGAUUCAGACACAGAUCCAGAGAGUAAGUACUUCAACAAUGGGAGAAAUUGUGACUACUACACGGAAAAUCAGUUCAACGAAAAGUUUGGAUCAGAACACAAUAUAAAGAUAAUACACUUCAAUAGUAGAAGCCUUUACGCUAAUUUUUGCAAGAUUAAAGACUACCUAGACCAGUUCACCUCACCUCACCAGUGUAAUCGCAAUCUCGGAGACCUGGAUUAGUCUGGAGAAAGGGGUGGAAUUUGAGUUGGAUGGUUAUAAUCUGAAUUAUGUAAACAGAGGCAACAAAAGGGGAGGGGGAGUUGCACUUUAUGUUGAUAGAAGACUUAAGUACAAGAUUGUUGAAAGUAUGACGGCUGCAAUUGAUGAUAUAUGUGAAUGUAUUACUAUUGAAAUAGAUAUGGGGAAAAGGAAGAACAUCAUUGUCAGCUGUGCAUACCGGGCUCCCAACAAUAGCAUAGAGAAGUUCAAGGAGGUGAUGGAGAGUAUGGCUACAAACACCGAGCAAAAGGUAACUUUUCUCUGUGGCGAUUACAACAUCGAUCUUCUGAAUCCUAACAAACUAACACCGAUAGAGAAAUUCAUGGAUGCAAUGUACAGCAGAAGCUUGUAUCCUAUUAUUACUAAACCUAGUCGAAUUACAGUCCACUCUGCAACACUUAUAGAUAAUAUUUUUACUAAUAACCUAAUAGAUAAUAUAGAAAGUGGAUUAUUAUUAAAUGAUAUUAGUGACCAUCUGCCGGUGUUUGCAAUCUACAGCGGUACACCUAGGUUGGCUGAAAGGAAUGAAAUGAUAGAAAGGAGAUUAAGAACGGUUGACAAUCUAAACAAGUUCAGAAAUGAAUUAAGUGCACAAAACUGGAGAAAGGUUUAUGAGGCAGAGGAGGUUGAUUAUGCUUAUGAUUCCUUCCUGCAAACUUUUCUGAUGUUAUAUGACAGAUGCUGUCCAAUUCAGCAAAGCAGAAAACGAGCAAAUCGCUCAGAUAAACCUUGGCUUACAAAGGGUCUGUUGAACGCCUGUAAAAAGAAGAACUUCUUAUAUAAAGAGUUUAUCAAGAAUAGAAAUAAGGAGAAAGAAAUGAAGUAUAAAAGAUAUAAAAAUAAAUUAACUGAUAUUAUGCGAAAUUGUAAAAAGGAUUAUUAUUGUAAACUACUAGAUAAAAAUAAAAAUAAUAUAAAGGAAACAUGGAAGAUCUUAAAUUCAAUUAUAAUAAAUCAAUCGACCAGCUCUGGAUUGCCAGAAGAAAUUCUAGAUAAUGAUAAGAUUAUUAAUGACAAAAAGGAGAUGGUAGAAGGCUUCAAUAAAUUCUUUGUAAAUGUGGGCCCUAAACUAGAAGAGCAGAUAAACCUUCCUCAAGGGGGAUGCGUAGCACAUUAUUUGGGCAAGAGGAACCCAGAUACUAUCUUUCUGAAAGACACCGAUAAAAAUGAAAUUAUUGCCAUAGUUAAUAACUUCAAAAAAAAAACAUCAAGAGACUGGAAUGGUAUUGAUAUGACAAUAGUAAAAGAAGUCAUUAUUAAUAUAGCAGAUCCCCUAGCACAUAUCUGCAAUGUUUCACUUCAAACGGGCUUCUUUCCAACCAAAA